This 2880-nucleotide long non-coding RNA is filed under the name Equus caballus (horse). RNAcentral's name for it is "lncRNA (ENSECAG00000056288.1)". Lineage: Eukaryota; Metazoa; Chordata; Mammalia; Perissodactyla; Equidae. The record is from RNAcentral.
UAGCUCCGUUAUUGUUUGACGACCAGUUGGGCCCUAGAGGACCCUCCCAGGCGAUGAGCAGCUUCAGCUGGAAAUAACUAAACAGCUUUAAAGGGAAGGGGCUGAGGAGGAGGAAAGUUAAUGAGCUUCAAGCAGCGAAAGAGUUACAGCGCAAUUAACUCCCAGGCGGUCUCAUCGACCUAUGGCAAGGUCGUCCAUUCCAACCCAGAGUUUCCUCCCCAGCUAGAAUUAAAGUUAAUUCAGUGUCAAAGGACGUUGGAAGAAAAGCCCUGCACAGGACAAGAGUGAGAAAUCAAUGACCUUCACAGAGAAAGGGACACAAGUGGCUGCUCCUUCCUGCACAGAUCAGCAAGUGGGUGGACUUUAAGGUGCGACUGUUGGAUUGUCUGACCUAGACUGAAGGAAGUCUCAGUCCUGGCUGUUUGGGAAUAUCAUGGGAAUAUCCACCUGAUGCCUGCAGAAGCUGUUGGUUUUGACUACUGCUGCUGCUAUUUUCCUUAAGAUUAGAGUCCACAGAACUGUGAAUGGAGAAAAAAUUUUCUCUUCAAUCAACUGGGAAGCCCUGCGCUUUUGGCCCCCACACGCCACUUGGGCAUUCCGUGCUCAGGAUAGAGAGACCUAUGGUCAGUGGCCUCUCUCGCGUAUUUAACACCCAGAGCAGACAAUUUUUUUUAAUUUAAUUUUUUUUUCCUUUUUCUCCCCGAAGCCCCCCGAUACACAGUUGUAUAUUCUUCUUUGUGGGUCCUUCUAGUUGUGGCAUGUGGGAUGCCGCCUCAGUGUGGUUUGAUGAGCGGUGCCAUGUCCGCGCCCAGGAUUCGAACCAAUAAAACACUGGGCCGCCUGCAGCGGAGCACACGAACUUAACCACUCAGCCACAGGGCCAGCCCCUGAGCAGAUAAUUUUUAAUAUCAUCUCCUCUAUUCAACAAAAUUAUUUCAUCAAAAUCUUGAAAGAAAGUAAAAAAUAACAUGGCCAGAAAAGGCAGUGAAAAUUUCACAGGAAGUGAAAAUUUUCCUUUAUUAUACUUUAUAUAUAAUCUUGCCAGUAAAAGAGAAAGUUUAUUUUAUGUACAUAAAAGGAAAAAGCUGCAGCUGCUAUGGAAAACAGUAUGGAAAUUUCCCAAAAACUUAAAAAUAGAAUUACCAUAUGAUCCAGCUAUUCCACUUCUGGGUAUUUAUCCAACGAACACGAAAACACUAGUUCGAAAAGAUAUAUGCUUCCCUGCGUUCAUCACAGCAUUAUUCAGAAUACCAAGACUUGGAAGCAACCUAGGUGCCCAUCAAGGGAUGAAUGGAUAAAGAAGAUGUGGUGUAUAUACACAAUGGAAUACUACUCAGCCAUAAAACAAGAUAAAAUCAUACCGUUUGUGACAACACGGAUGGACCUUGAGGGUAUUAUACCAAGCAAAAUGAGUCAAACAGAGAAAGACAAACACCGUAUGAUUUCACUCUUAUGUGGAAGAUAAACAAACACACGUAUAAGACCAGAUUAGUGAUUACCAGAGGGGAAAAGAGUGGAGUAAACUUUAAUAAAAUCAAAAUAUCGACAAAAAGUUCAAGUCAGAAAACUAUUAAACAAAUAAUUAUAACUUUAAAAAAGAGUACACUUCAAUUUUAAAGAUAUUGUUCACAUUCAGUAAAAUAUUUCACGUAUGAACUAAAUUUGCACUUAAUAAAAAUACUGUACCCCACAGGCUUACAGUGUUUCACCGUUACAAAUUUUAAACCCAAAGAAACACUCGAAAUGUUCACAUACCAUGACAGAAAUGAGGUCAUUCAAAUUCUGUUUCUUUAUCUUUUACAAUCAUUAAAUGCAGGAAAACGCAGCAACGAGGAGGCGGCUGAGGAAGAGGCAGAACAGCUGAGUCUCUCCUCCCAGAGCAGGCAGAGGGGCAGGCGGCGGGGCAGGCGGCGGCGACCGGGGUUCUCUUUUCUAGUUUACCUAUUCAAAGCAUCUUCAGAAUAACAAAAAUGUAUCAGUUAGGGUUCGGUUCAGCUGCAUGUAACAGUAGCCCAAAUAAGCGACUGAGUAACUUACAAGUUUAUUUUCCCUCCCAUAAAAGAAGCCUGAAGUGGGCAGCCCGAGGCAGUAAAGGCAGCUCCACAGGCAUCAGGGACCAGAUGCUUUUCAUCUUUCUUCUCCAACGUGUUUAGCGCAAAGCUUAUAUCUUAUCUUCAAGGUCACCUCAUGGUCCAAGAUGGCUGUAGGAAUGCCAGCCAUCGUCUUUGCUUUCCGAGAGAGAAAAAAGAGGCACAUCACCACCUGGAAUAAAAGCAGAGCUCCGCUUGUGAGGACGAGGAGACUCAGGACUGAGCAGGUCCCGUAUCUCUGCCACAAGCUGAGUGCCAGUCCUGAGCAAGGCCUUCAUACCCAUCACCCCGCUCCUUCCUCAGAACGCUCCACAAGCCCGUCCCACUAAAACAAGACAAGUCUCAGGGAUUAUCAACCCAACAACCCAAUUUUAACUAACAUUUGAAUAGAAGUUUAGCUUUUAUACAAUUUCCCCCAAAGAUCAUUUAAUUCCCCAAACACCCUCCUUGCAAUAAAUAGUGCUCUUCACUAGAUUUUGCAGAGGAGGAAACUGAGAUCUCGAAAGCUUUGAUUGGUUCAAAGCCACACGCUAACGAGAGGCACAGCUGGACUAGUGACUUCCUGACAUAUGGCCACACAUUGGGCUUUAUUUCCGUAUUUUUUAAAGGAAAUUAAACAUACAGAAAGGUCCAGAGAAUAUUACAAAUGUCUAUCCAUGACUCAGAAUUAUCAAAUGCUGAUAAUUUUGUCAUUUUGCUUCCAAUUUCUUUUCUUUUAGAUUAAAAAGAACACUACUGAGAAAGUUGAAAUCUGCUUUGUAACCCUCCCCAUCACAUCCCCCUUGCUCCC